CAAUCUGCCGAGAAGUGGGGGAUAGCUCGCCGAAAGGCGAAUUAAUACCGCAUGUGAUCAGAGUGGACAUCCAUUCGAAAUCAAAGUCGGGGCAACCUGACGCUUUUUGAGGAGCCCGCGGCCUAUCAGCUAGUUGGUGAGGUAACGGCUCACCAAGGCUUUGACGGGUAGCUGGUCUGAGAGGACGACCAGCCACACUGGGACUGAGACACGGCCCAG
Molecule: ribosomal RNA, 219 nt
Filed under: uncultured bacterium
Lineage: Bacteria
Description: partial 16S ribosomal RNA
Rfam family: Bacterial small subunit ribosomal RNA
Source: RNAcentral